RNAcentral lists this small RNA (1068 nucleotides) under Drosophila pseudoobscura pseudoobscura. Its description in RNAcentral is "GA31342". Lineage: Eukaryota; Metazoa; Arthropoda; Insecta; Diptera; Drosophilidae. The record is from RNAcentral.
UCAGCUGGCCAAGAGAUUUCUUUCCAAUAACAAAAAAAAAUUUACCAUACGCUGUAACGAUUAAAACGGCAACACUGUGCAGAAAAAAUACCACUCACAGGCUUACAGGUACCCACCAUAUAGUCCUGCGAGGAUAUGUCCAGAUCUUUUAAUUAGAGUUCAACGAUAAUACUAGUCUGGUUCCGGACAGGCUUAUCUUGGAAUUAAUGCUAGCCAAUGGCUAGGAGGCCUUAAGGCGCUUCUGAAAACUAAAUGAAAUUUCUGUUGAGUAUAGCAAACUUUCCAUAGGUCUGUGAAAAAUGACAGCUUCAGAUGUCACAGAAGCAGUACAUCUGGAAUCUAAUGGAAUAGGAUGUGGUUGAUAUACACAGCUUCAGAUGUCACAGAAGCAGUACAUCUGGAAUCUAAUGGAAUAGGAUGUGGUUGAUAUACAUAAAUGGUUUUGCGUCGCUCCGUUGAGGUGAACUGUCGUCAAUAUUUUCUGUCGAAGCGUAGAUACCAAACGCAUGAAUGUGGGGGAGGCGAGCGUGGGAGAGCGAACGCCAGAUUCAACAAGGCCUGAUGCAAUCGCAUGUCAAGUUCCAUUAUCUGCAUCUGUAUCUGUCCCUGCUGUGUGCCUGCACUCAAACAGAAACCUAUUUACACUUGUUGUCGUAUGCAUUAAUUGGUCAUAGCAGCGGCAAAUAAAGUAAAAAAAGAUGGAGAACGGCCAGCGUGUGGGACGGUGGUGCGUCAAUCCAUCGUGUGCAAUGUGGGGGAGGCUGCGCUGCGAAGGGUUAUCCGUCGAGAUGGUUAUUUAUAGCUCUCUAAUUGAGUGAAAGACAGUUGAAAAGUGUUGACACCAUGCCCUACGCUAUGCCUUCCGAUACACAGCUCCAAAGUGCCCAUGAACUGUUGCCAAAACUGUCCAAAACUUUCCCAGCAGUGAAAGAGGGAAUGUUGGACUUGAAGACAGCAGAGAAUUAAGCAUUUAAGAGACCCCCCUCCCCCCAUUUUGAUGGUAUUUUGCAUCCAAUUCCAGUUCACUAAUUAAAUAUUUCAUUUAUAAUUGGCCAAAGACAGCAAGAA